GUAGGUGGCAAGCGUUGUCCGGAAUUAUUGGGCGUAAAGCGCGCGCAGGGCGGUCCUUUAAGUCUGAUGUGAAAGCCCACGGCUCAACCGUGGAGGGUCAUUGGAAACUGGGGGACUUGAGUACAGAAGAGGAAAGCGGGAUUCCAAGUGUAGCGGUGAAAUGCGUAGAGAUUUGGAGGAACACCAGUGGCGAAGGCGGCUUUCUGGUCUGUAACUGACGCUGAGGCGCGAAAGCGUGGGGAGCAAACAGGAUUAGAUACCCUAGUAGUCCACGCCGUAAACGAUGAGUGCUAAGUGUUAGGGGGUUUCCGCCCCUUAGUGCUGCAGCUAACGCAUUAAGCACUCCGCCUGGGGAGUACGGCCGCAAGGCUG
Molecule: ribosomal RNA, 372 nt
Filed under: uncultured organism
Description: partial 16S ribosomal RNA
Rfam family: Bacterial small subunit ribosomal RNA
Source: RNAcentral